CCAAUAGCGUAUAUUAAAGUUGUUGCAGUUAAAAAGCUCGUAGUUGAAUUUCGAGACCGGCUUAUUGGUCGUGCUUUUGUACGUACUGGUAUAAUCGGUUUCUCCUUUCUGACGAACUAUAAUGCCAUUAAUUUGGUGUUAUAGGGAAUCAGGACUGUUACUUUGAAAAAAUUAGAGUGUUUAAAGCAGGCUCACGCUUGAAUACAUUAGCAUGGAAUAACGGAAUAGGACGUUUGAUUCUAUUUUGUUGGUUUCUAGGAUCGACGUAAUGAUUAAUAGGGAUAGUUGGGGGGAUUAGUAUUCAAUUGUCAGAGGUGAAAUUCUUGGAUUUAUUGAAGACUAACUACUGCGAAAGCAUUUGCCAAGGAUGUUUUCAUUAAUCAAGAACGAAAGUUAGGGGAUCGAAGACGAUCAGAUACCGUCGUAGUCUUAACCAUAAACUAUGCCGACUAGGGAUCGGAUGAUGUUAAUUUUUUAAUGACUCAUUCGGCGCCUUACG
Molecule: ribosomal RNA, 499 nt
Filed under: uncultured Glomeromycotina
Lineage: Eukaryota; Fungi; Glomeromycota
Description: partial small subunit ribosomal RNA
Rfam family: Eukaryotic small subunit ribosomal RNA
Source: RNAcentral